Non-coding RNA from Triticum aestivum (bread wheat), 115 nucleotides. Lineage: Eukaryota; Viridiplantae; Streptophyta; Magnoliopsida; Poales; Poaceae. The record is from Rfam.
AUAAUACUCCCUCCCUCCAGAAUUACUUGUCAUCAAAAUGGAUGUGUCUAGAACUAAAAUACAUCUAGAUACAUCCAUUUCAAUGACAAGUAUUUUCCGACGGAGGGAGUAGUAG